This 501-nucleotide ribosomal RNA is filed under the name uncultured bacterium. RNAcentral's name for it is "bacterial SSU rRNA". It matches the Rfam family "Bacterial small subunit ribosomal RNA", at positions 24 to 518 of the family's 1533-position model. The record is from RNAcentral.
UCAGGAUGAACGCUGGCGGCGUGGCCUAACACAUGCAAGUCGAACGAAGCGAUAGAAGACGGAGAUCGUCAAAGCCUUUAUGACUUAGUGGCGGACGGGUGAGUAAUGUAUGAGCAACCUGCCUUUCAGAGGGGGACGAACAGUUGGAAACGACUGCUAAUACCGCGUAAUGUAAUGAAGGGGCAUCCCUUUAUUACCAAAGGAGCAAUCCGCUGAAAGAUGGGCUCAUAUCUGAUUAGCUCGUUGGCGGGGUAACGGCCCCACCAAGGCGACGAUCAGUAGCCGGACUGAGAGGUUGAACGGCCACAUUGGGACUGAGAUACGGCCCAGACUCCUACGGGAGGCAGCAGUGGGGAAUAUUGGGCAAUGGGCGAAAAAGCCUGACCCAGCAACGCCGCGUGAAGGAAGAAGGUCUUCGGAUUGUAAACUUCUUUUAUGAGGGACGAAGGACGUGACGGUACCUCAUGAAUAAGCCACGGCUAACUACGUGCCAGCCGCCGC